AAACCAGCACCUCAAGUGGUCAGGAGGAUUAUUGGGCCUAAAGCAUCCGUAGCCUGCUCUGUAAGUUUCCGGUUAAAUCCAUUAGCUCAACUGAUGGGCCGCCGGAAAAACUGCAAAGCUAGGGAGUGGGAGAGGUAGACGGUACUCGGUAGGAAGGGGUAAAAUCCUUUGAUCUAUUGAUGACCACCUGUGGCGAAGGCGGUCUACCAGAACACGUUCGACGGUGAGGGAUGAAAGCUGGGGGAGCAAACCGGAUUAGAAACCCUGGUAGUCC
Molecule: ribosomal RNA, 274 nt
Filed under: uncultured bacterium
Lineage: Bacteria
Description: partial 16S ribosomal RNA
Rfam family: Archaeal small subunit ribosomal RNA
Source: RNAcentral